This 253-nucleotide ribosomal RNA is filed under the name uncultured bacterium. RNAcentral's name for it is "partial 16S ribosomal RNA". It matches the Rfam family "Bacterial small subunit ribosomal RNA", at positions 524 to 776 of the family's 1533-position model. The record is from RNAcentral.
UACGUAGGGGGCAAGCGUUAUCCGGAUUUACUGGGUGUAAAGGGAGCGUAGACGGCCAGACAAGUCUGAAGUGAAAAUCCAGCGCUUAACGUUGGAAGUGCUUUGGAAACUGCCGGGCUAGAGUGCAGGAGGGGCAGGCGGAAUUCCUAGCGUAGCGGUGAAAUGCGUAGAUAUUAGGAGGAACACCAGUGGCGAAGGCGGCCUGCUGGACUGCAACUGACGUUGAGGCUCGAAGGCGUGGGGAGCAAACAGG